GGGGGUGUAGCUCAGUUGGUAGAGCGCCUGCCUUGCAAGCAGGAGGUCACCGGUUCGAACCCGAUCAUCUCCACCA
Molecule: transfer RNA, 76 nt
Filed under: Clostridiales bacterium
Lineage: Bacteria; Bacillati; Bacillota; Clostridia; Eubacteriales
Also listed under: 2 other names
Description: tRNA-Ala
Rfam family: tRNA
About the family: Transfer RNA (tRNA) molecules are approximately 80 nucleotides in length. Their secondary structure includes four short double-helical elements and three loops (D, anti-codon, and T loops). Further hydrogen bonds mediate the characteristic L-shaped molecular structure. tRNAs have two regions of fundamental functional importance: the anti-codon, which is responsible for specific mRNA codon recognition, and the 3' end, to which the tRNAs corresponding amino acid is attached (by aminoacyl-tRNA synthetases). tRNAs cope with the degeneracy of the genetic code in two manners: having more than one tRNA (with a specific anti-codon) for a particular amino acid; and 'wobble' base-pairing, i.e. permitting non-standard base-pairing at the 3rd anti-codon position.
Source: RNAcentral